UAGGGAAUAUUGCAAAAUGGGCGAAAGCCCGAUGCAGCGACGCCGCGUGGGCGAUGAAGGCCUUCGGGUCGUAAAGCCCUUUUUGAGGGGAUGAGGAAGGACAGUACCCUCAGAAUAAGCCUCGGCUAACUACGUGCCAGCAGCCGCGGUAAAACGUAGGAGGCGAGCGUUAUCCGGAUUUACUGGGCGUAAAGCGCGUGCAGGCGGAUUGGAGAGUUGGAUGUGAAAGCUCCCGGCUUAACUGGGAGAGGUCGUUCAAUACUUCCAGUCUUGAGUGCAGUAGAGGGAAGUGGAAUUCCGGGUGUAGUGGUGAAAUGCGUAGAUAUCCGGAGGAACACCAGUGGCGAAAGCGGCUUCCUGGACUGUAACUGACGCUCAGACGCGAAAGCUAGGGUAGCAAACG
RNAcentral lists this ribosomal RNA (403 nucleotides) under uncultured bacterium. Its description in RNAcentral is "bacterial SSU rRNA". It matches the Rfam family "Bacterial small subunit ribosomal RNA", at positions 355 to 774 of the family's 1533-position model. The record is from RNAcentral.